Megalobrama amblycephala (Wuchang bream) is the source of this 1117-nucleotide long non-coding RNA. RefSeq lists it as uncharacterized. NCBI's taxonomy places the organism in Eukaryota, Metazoa, Chordata, Actinopteri, Cypriniformes, Xenocyprididae. The transcript has 2 exons. The record is from RefSeq and is a predicted model, not a curated record.
CGGCAUGAGGGUGAGUAAUAAAUGACAUAAUUUUCAUUUUUGGGUGAACUAACCUUUUAAAACGGCCGACUCCCUGAUCAAUAUGCCCUGACUACUGAACUGGGGAGCUGAUUGAGACACACCCAGUAUGUUAACGCGCAGCUACAGAUUUAGGUUAAAUUCUCUCUUUUAUGGCUAAAAAAACUUACAUUACUAGCAAUUGUUGUAGUUCACCUAUUAUCUGACAAAAAUAUUUUCUAACGUAAUUCUAUGGGAAUUCUGUGUGUUUGCAUAGUUUUAAACCAACACAGUGAAUAUUUCGUAUGGAUCCUGUGAAUCGGACGCAGCUAUAGUCAGCUGUAUUAUCAUUGUCGUAAAUAUUGAGGUGAGCAGUGUGUCUGAGUGUCAAGUUCACUGUUCAGCCCACUGUGUGCGUAGCGGAGAAUCUCGCUGCGUCGAGUUGAGUUGAAGUGUGGGAGUAGCUGUGACAGUGACGUUUGAUCAUUGCUGAGGGGGAUUGCCUCGUGAGUGGGCGGGAAACUGAGACCGCGAAAAAGCAAGUAGAGAGCGCGCUCUGUAGCGGAACGUUCUCGUGCGGUUACCAUGACGCUGAGAGUGGGUGAAUCCCGCCCUGUCGCGCUAUUCUGACCUCUGGAUUGGUAUUUGUUUGAGGCCUGCAUGACCCGUUUCUCCUGCUGCAGUCCCUGAGGAACUGGUUCCUGUUCCUGAACACCAGUCUUACAAUGAAGAGCUGGGGACUUGUGCGUGUGGAUGAUCGAGAGAAGAAAAAGAAUGAAUCUCAUUCCUUUUGUAACAGACAGAAAGUGCCAUGUCUGUUUAACUGAGCAGGACUGCUCUGUGACCUUAUACUUUAAACAAAACUAUUGACAUUAGUUAUAAUGAUAGUAAUGCUCAGAUAUGCUUGGAAUUUGGAUCUCUUUCCAGCACACAAUGCCACAAUCUAGGUGGAGAGUUUCUGUAAAUGUCCCAGUUGUGUGGAUUAAGUCUUUCAUGGAAUGUUGUUUAUGGAAAACGUGAGUGGUGCUUACCAGUGCAAAAGUUGCAACCACACUGCUAGGGUGUUGUGGUUGUUGAGCUACUGAUCUAAGUCAAAUAAAAGCCCCUUAAGUCUCUAAGA